UGUCCUCGAGGCGAUGGGGCCCGCCUGAAACCGCCCAGCCGGGCUGAUGGCUCCUACCCAGAA
RNAcentral lists this non-coding RNA (63 nucleotides) under Thermus scotoductus. Its description in RNAcentral is "Fluoride sequence". It matches the Rfam family "Fluoride riboswitch aptamer (crcB RNA motif)". Lineage: Bacteria; Thermotogati; Deinococcota; Deinococci; Thermales; Thermaceae. The record is from RNAcentral.